CCAGGAACAGAAGGAAAACCAGGUGUACCUGGUCCAGCUGGACAACCAGGGCCUGCUGGAGAACCUGGUUUACCUGGCAAGGGUAAAGAUGGAGAACAGGGAGAAAGAGGCCCACCAGGCUUGCCAGGACCCUUUGGGCAUAAGGGUGAGAGAGGAGCUCCUGGCCUCCCUGGGCAGCCAGGAGAUAGAGGUGUGCCAGGAAUUGGGCUGGCUGGACCCCCUGGCCCUGUAGGACCCCCAGGAGACAAAGGAUCAUUGGGUCCUCGUGGUGUACCUGGUAUUCCUGGGCCACAAGG
This is a non-coding RNA of Tinamus guttatus (white-throated tinamou), 296 nucleotides long. Lineage: Eukaryota; Metazoa; Chordata; Aves; Tinamiformes; Tinamidae. The record is from RefSeq and is a predicted model, not a curated record.